UACGUAGGUGGCAAGCGUUGUCCGGAUUUACUGGGCGUAAAGAGCGCGCAGGCGGUCGUUCAAGUCGCGUGUGAAAGCCCCCGGCUCAACUGGGGAGGGUCAUUCGAUACUGAUCGACUUGAAGGCAGGAGAGGGAAGUGGAAUUCCCGGUGUAGUGGUGAAAUGCGUAGAUAUCGGGAGGAACACCAGUGGCGAAGGCGACUUCCUGGCCUGUUCUUGACGCUGAGGCGCGAAAGCUAGGGGAGCAAACGGG
This 253-nucleotide ribosomal RNA is filed under the name uncultured bacterium. RNAcentral describes it as "partial 16S ribosomal RNA". It matches the Rfam family "Bacterial small subunit ribosomal RNA", at positions 524 to 776 of the family's 1533-position model. The record is from RNAcentral.